CCUACGGGUGGCGGCAGUGGGGAAUAUUGGACAAUGGGCGAAAGCCUGAUCCAGCCAUGCCGCGUGUGUGAAGAAGGCCUUCGGGUUGUAAAGCACUUUCAGUGGGGAAGAAAGCCUUGGGGCUAAUACCCUCGAGGAAGGACAUCACCCACAGAAGAAGCACCGGCUAACUCCGUGCCAGCAGCCGCGGUAAUACGGAGGGUGCGAGCGUUAAUCGGAAUUACUGGGCGUAAAGCGCGCGUAGGCGGUCUGAUAAGCCGGUUGUGAAAGCCCCGGGCUCAACCUGGGAACGGCAUCCGGAACGGUCAGGCUAGAGUGCAGGAGAGGAAGGUAGAAUUCCCGGUGUAGCGGUGAAAUGCGUAGAGAUCGGGAGGAAUACCAGUGGCGAAGGCGGCCUUCUGGACUGACACUGACGCUGAGGUGCGAAAGCGUGGGUAGCAAACAGGAUUAGAUACCCGGGUAGUC
RNAcentral lists this ribosomal RNA (465 nucleotides) under Vreelandella stevensii. Its description in RNAcentral is "partial 16S ribosomal RNA". It matches the Rfam family "Bacterial small subunit ribosomal RNA", at positions 338 to 795 of the family's 1533-position model. Lineage: Bacteria; Pseudomonadati; Pseudomonadota; Gammaproteobacteria; Oceanospirillales; Halomonadaceae. The record is from RNAcentral.